ACGACCGUACUUGAACAGGAUUUGUGGUAUUAGGUUGUGCUGUGUCCUUGAGUUCUGAGGAGACAUGAACCUAAGUCUGGUAGAUGAAUUGUGACCAUGUUAUCAGAGCAUGAUUAGAAGUUAUCAACUAUUUGUAGCUGCAUGAAAAGAAAAAAAACAUCCAUUUUAAAGUUUCUUGAUCAGAAGUCUAAUAUGACCUAGCUGAUUCUAUCUUUUGACU
This 220-nucleotide small RNA is filed under the name Prunus dulcis (almond). RNAcentral describes it as "sRNA ncRNA". Lineage: Eukaryota; Viridiplantae; Streptophyta; Magnoliopsida; Rosales; Rosaceae. The record is from RNAcentral.